This 634-nucleotide ribosomal RNA is filed under the name Plantibacter sp. CFBP 8775. RNAcentral's name for it is "partial 23S ribosomal RNA". It matches the Rfam family "Bacterial large subunit ribosomal RNA", at positions 1 to 588 of the family's 2925-position model. Lineage: Bacteria; Bacillati; Actinomycetota; Actinomycetes; Micrococcales; Microbacteriaceae. The record is from RNAcentral.
UUUCAAAUUUCUAAGAGCAAACGGUGGAUGCCUUGGCAUCUGGAGCCGAAGAAGGACGUAGUAAUCUGCGAUAAGCCUCGGGGAGCUGAUAAACGAGCUGUGAUCCGAGGAUUUCCGAAUGGGGAAACCCCGCCAGGCCCCUUGUGGUGAUCUGGUGACUCCCGCCUGAAUAUAUAGGGCGGGUAGAGGGAACGGGGGGAAGUGAAACAUCUCAGUACCCCCAGGAAGAGAAAACAACAGUGAUUCCGUCAGUAGUGGCGAGCGAAAUCGGAAGAGGCUAAACCGGGCAUGUGUGAUAGCUAUCAGGCGUUGCAUGUCCGGGGUUGUGGGACUUCUCACUCCGAACUGAUAUUCGGGGAGCAUUAGAACGUGGUAUAGACGAAUGGGAUUGAAAGCCCAGCCAGAGACGGUGCCAGCCCGGUAGUCGAAAUGCUGCAAUCGUGCGAGGAGUAUCCCAAGUAGCACGGGGCCCGAGAAAUCCCGUGUGAAUCUGUCAGGACCACCUGAUAAGCCUAAAUACUCCCAGAUGACCGAUAGCGGACAAGUACCGUGAGGGAAAGGUGAAAAGUACCCCGGGAGGGGAGUGAAAUAGUACCUGAAACCGUUUGCUUACAAACCGUUGGAGCACCCUUGU